This 503-nucleotide ribosomal RNA is filed under the name uncultured bacterium. RNAcentral describes it as "bacterial SSU rRNA". It matches the Rfam family "Bacterial small subunit ribosomal RNA", at positions 55 to 604 of the family's 1533-position model. The record is from RNAcentral.
AUGCAAGUCGAGCGCCGUAGCAAUACGGAGCGGCAGACGGGAGAGUAACACGUGGGAACGUGCCCUUUGGUUCGGAACAACCCAGGGAAACUUGGGCUAAUACCGGAUAAGCCCUUACGGGGAAAGAUUUAUCGCCGAAGGAUCGGCCCGCGUCUGAUUAGCUAGUUGGUGGGGUAAUGGCCCACCAAGGCGACGAUCAGUANCUGGUCUGAGAGGAUGAUCAGCCUCACUGGGACUGAGACACGGGCCAGACUCCUACGGGAGGCAGCAGUGGGGAAUAUUGGACAAUGGGCGCAAGCCUGAUCCAGCCAUGCCGCGUGGGUGAUGAAGGCCCUAGGGUUGUAAAGCCCUUUCGGCGGGGAAGAUAAUGACGGUACCCGCAGAAGAAGCCCCGGCUAACUUCGUGCCAGCAGCCGCGGUAAUACGAAGGGGGCUAUCGUUGCUCGGAAUCACUGGGCGUAAAGCGCACGUAUGCGGAUUGCUAAGUCAGGGGUGAAAUCCUG